Mastomys coucha (southern multimammate mouse) is the source of this 681-nucleotide long non-coding RNA. RefSeq lists it as uncharacterized. The record is from RefSeq and is a predicted model, not a curated record. The transcript has 5 exons. Lineage: Eukaryota; Metazoa; Chordata; Mammalia; Rodentia; Muridae.
UGGCCAGAAGGCUGAAGACAGAUGCUCCAAGGUUUGGAGGAAUAAGGGGCUGUCCAGGCAGUCAACAGACUCUACAGCUGUUUGAGGAGCUAUGGUUGGUACUUCCUGUAUACCCAGGAGCGAGGGAAUAAGCCAAGGAGGAAGUAUCUCAUGAGAAGGGAAUGGACACUGGCAAUCCAGAGUGCCUUACCAUGGACCCAGAGCUGGCAGAGCCACAUGACCAAGAACUGAACCCCCUGAAAUGAUGAGCCAAGGUCACCCUCAAGCUUCUCAUGGACUUCUUGCAUCCAACACUAGGAGGUGAACCCAGCCUGACCUGUCUUCAGGGAGCAGUGUGCUGUGAUGACACAUCAUCUGCAUCCAGGCGCUUGUAGCAAAGAGGCUUCUACAGAAGAGGAAGGAGGCCAGUCAUUUCCAGCCUCAAGCUUGAAUGCUUUCAUGGAACCUCUUCCCUAGGCUGCAAAUAUGGAUUCCUGAGCUGACUGUACAACUUCAACUGCUCCCUUUUUUUCUCCCCACUCUUACAAUUUUCUUGAGGCCUGGGUCCUUUGGGGGGGAUAUCUUGAGUUUCUUGGGAACUGGCUUCAUUCUGGCCUCAAGAAAUGUGUAUUCUUUAGAAUAUGGCAUGAUUUAGAAUAUGAAUGUCUCUGGAGUCUCAAAUAAACCUUAAUUUUCUUGCCA